AUGGAAGCAGAACUCACAGCAUUAGACACUACCACUGUUGAAGCAGAGUGGCUUCGUGAGCUAUUGAUGGACUUACCUAUGGUUGAAAAACCAAUACCCCCUAUCCUGAUGAACUGUGAUAAUCAAACUGUGAUCGUCAAGAUAAACAGUUCUAAGGACAAUAUGAAGUCCUCAAGGCAUGUGAAGAGGAGAUUAAAAUCUGUGAGGAAACUGAGAAACUCCGGAGUUAUUACGUUGGAUUAUAUCCAAACGUCGAAAAACUUGGCAGAUCCCUUCACAAAGGGUCUAUCACGUAAUGUGAUAGAUAAUGCACCGAUGGAGAUGUGUUUGAGACCCACCGCAGGAGUUGUCCAUAGUGGUAACCCACUCUAUAUGAUCGGAGAUCCCAUGAAGUAG
This 396-nucleotide ribosomal RNA is filed under the name Triticum aestivum (bread wheat). RNAcentral describes it as "partial small subunit ribosomal RNA". The record is from RNAcentral. Lineage: Eukaryota; Viridiplantae; Streptophyta; Magnoliopsida; Poales; Poaceae.